CUGCUUCGCUGACGAGUGGCGGACGGGUGAGUAAUGUCUGGGAAACUGCCUGAUGGAGGGGGAUAACUACUGGAAACGGUAGCUAAUACCGCAUAACGUCGCAAGACCAAAGAGGGGGACCUUCGGGCCUCUUGCCAUCGGAUGUGCCCAGAUGGGAUUAGCUAGUAGGUGGGGUAACGGCUCACCAAGGCGACGAUCCGUAACUGGUCUGAGAGGAUGAUCAGUCACACUGGAACUGAGACACGGUCCAGACUCCUACGGGAGGCAGCAGUGGGGAAUAUUGCACAAUGGACGAAAGUCUGAUGCAGCAACGCCGCGUGGAGGAUGACACAUUUCGGUGCGUAAACUCCUUUUAUAUAGGAAGAUAAUGACGGUACUAUAUGAAUAAGCACCGGCUAACUCCGUGCCAGCAGCCGCGGUAAUACGGAGGGUGUAAGCGUUAAUCGGAAUUACUGGGCGUAAAGCGCACGCAGGCGGUCUGUCAAGUCGGAUGUGAAAUCCCCGGGCUCAACCUGGGAACUGCAUUCGAAACUGGCAGGCUAGAGUCUUGUAGAGGGGGGUAGAAUUCCAGGUGUAGCGGUGAAAUGCGUAGAGAUCUGGAGGAAUACCGGUGGCGAAGGCGGCCCCCUGGACAAAGACUGACGCUCAGGUGCGAAAGCGUGGGGAGCAAACAGGAUUAGAUACCCUGGUAGUCCACGCCGUAAACGAUGUCGACUUGGAGGUUGUGCCCUUGAGGCGUGGCUUCCGGAGCUAACGCGUUAAGUCGACCGCCUGGGGAGUACGGCCGCAAGGUUAAAACU
Molecule: ribosomal RNA, 800 nt
Filed under: uncultured bacterium
Lineage: Bacteria
Description: bacterial SSU rRNA
Rfam family: Bacterial small subunit ribosomal RNA
Source: RNAcentral